UACGUAGGGGGCAAGCGUUGUCCGGAAUCAUUGGGCGUAAAGAGCGUGUAGGCGGUCCGGUAAGUCGGCUGUGAAAGUCCAGGGCCCAACCCUGGGAUGCCGGUCGAUACUGCCGGACUAGAGUUCGGAAGAGGCGAGUGGAAUUCCCGGUGUAGCGGUGAAAUGCGCAGAUAUCGGGAGGAACACCUAUGGCGAAGGCAGCUCGCUGGGACGUUACUGACGCUGAGACGCGAAAGCGUGGGGAGCAAACAGG
RNAcentral lists this ribosomal RNA (253 nucleotides) under uncultured bacterium. RNAcentral describes it as "partial 16S ribosomal RNA". It matches the Rfam family "Bacterial small subunit ribosomal RNA", at positions 524 to 776 of the family's 1533-position model. The record is from RNAcentral.